This 793-nucleotide ribosomal RNA is filed under the name fungal sp. EEM05. RNAcentral's name for it is "SSU rRNA". It matches the Rfam family "Eukaryotic small subunit ribosomal RNA", at positions 326 to 1128 of the family's 1831-position model. Lineage: Eukaryota; Fungi. The record is from RNAcentral.
UGGGAGGAUAGUGGCCUACCAUGGUUUCAACGGGUAACGGGGAAUUAGGGUUCUAUUCCGGAGAGGGAGCCUGAGAAACGGCUACCACAUCCAAGGAAGGCAGCAGGCGCGCAAAUUACCCAAUCCCGACACGGGGAGGUAGUGACAAUAAAUACUGAUACAGGGCUCUUUUGGGUCUUGUAAUUGGAAUGAGUACAAUUUAAAUCCCUUAACGAGGAACAAUUGGAGGGCAAGUCUGGUGCCAGCAGCCGCGGUAAUUCCAGCUCCAAUAGCGUAUAUUAAAGUUGUUGCAGUUAAAAAGCUCGUAGUUGAACCUUGGGCCUGGUUGGUCGGCCGCCUCACCGCGUGCACUGAUCCGACCGGGCCUUUCCUUCUGGGGAGCCGCAUGCCCUUCACUGGGUGUGUCGGGGAACCAGGACUUUUACUUUGAAAAAAUUAAAAGUGUUCAAAGCAGGCCUAUGCUCGAAUACAUUAGCAUGGAAUAAUAGAAUAGGACGUGUGGUCUAUUUUGUUGGUUUCUAGGACCGCCGUAAUGAUUAAUAGGGAUAGUCCGGGGGCAUCAGUAUUCCCGUUGUCAGAAGGUGAAAUUCUUGGAUUUACGGAAGACUAACUACUGCGAAAGCAUUUGCCAAGGAUGUUUUCAUUAAUCAUGAACGAAAGUUAGGGGAUCGAAGACGAUCAGAUACCCGCCGAAUCUUAACCUUAACUAUGCCGACUAGGGAUCGGCGAUGUUAUCUUUUUACUCCUCGGCACCUUACAAGAAAUCAAAGUUUUUGGGUCUGGGGGGAGAUGG